Dermacentor andersoni is the source of this 430-nucleotide long non-coding RNA. RefSeq lists it as uncharacterized. The record is from RefSeq and is a predicted model, not a curated record. Lineage: Eukaryota; Metazoa; Arthropoda; Arachnida; Ixodida; Ixodidae.
CGGGCGCAGACUUUCGAGCAACACCCGAGCCACGGCAGGAGUUAUCAUGAAGUUUCUCAUUUGCAGCGCUGUUCUCCUCGCCUUUGCUUUCGUUGGGUCCAAUGCUGGAUACCAUGGAUAUGGUGGACAUGGUGGGCACGGAGGUUAUGGUGGACACGGCGGCUAUGGUGGGCACGGCCAUGGCGGGUACAGCCACGGCAUCACGCACUUCUUUGACAACCAACGUGCCCAUCACGGACAUGGUGGCUACGGUCACGGAGGUUACGGCCACGGAGGAUAUGGAGGUCAUGGACAUGGCGGCUAUGGACACGGCGGAUACGGUGGUCACGGCUAUCAUGGCUAAGGCUUCGGUUGACACUUCUAUGCGGAGAAACCCUAGAAGUCGUUGUACAGUCUGUGCAUAGGAAAAUAAAUGCAUUUUGUCUCAAAA